CGGGACGGGUGAGUAACGCGUGAGGAACCUGCCUCAGAGUGGGGGAUAACACACCGAAAGGUGUGCUAAUACCGCAUAACAUAUGGGAGGGGCAUCCCUUUCAUAUCAAAGAUUUAUUGCUCUGAGAUGGCCUCGCGUCCAAUUAGCUAGUUGGCGGGGUAACGGCCCACCAAGGCGACGAUUGGUAGCCGGACUGAGAGGUUGAACGGCCACAUUGGGACUGAGACACGGCCCAGACUCCUACGGAAGGCAGCAG
This 256-nucleotide ribosomal RNA is filed under the name uncultured bacterium. RNAcentral's name for it is "partial 16S ribosomal RNA". It matches the Rfam family "Bacterial small subunit ribosomal RNA", at positions 98 to 354 of the family's 1533-position model. The record is from RNAcentral.